This 181-nucleotide unclassified non-coding RNA is filed under the name fungal sp. RNAcentral describes it as "partial internal transcribed spacer region". The stretch from base 1 to 46 matches the Rfam family "Eukaryotic small subunit ribosomal RNA", at positions 1786 to 1831 of the family's 1831-position model. Lineage: Eukaryota; Fungi. RNAcentral also lists the same sequence under 1 other name. The record is from RNAcentral.
AAGUCGUAACAAGGUUUCCGUAGGUGAACCUGCGGAAGGAUCAUUAUCAAUGAUAUCCAUCAAACCCGUGAACUGAAAAACUGCAUUUCGGGAAGAAAUUCCCGAAUCUUGAACACUGCUUACAUUAAUCAGAUACAACAUUAAAUAAAUACAACUUUUAGCAACGGAUCUCUAGGUUCUC